Molecule: long non-coding RNA, 1003 nt
Filed under: Struthio camelus australis
Lineage: Eukaryota; Metazoa; Chordata; Aves; Struthioniformes; Struthionidae
Description: lncRNA (ENSSCUG00000010947.1)
Source: RNAcentral
CUUUUUUCUUUUUCUUUUUUUAAUUACCAUGUGGAUACCGAAACUCAUUAUGGAAAAAAAAAAAGAAAGAAAGAAAUCAGAGUGUCUGGGCCCCUCACUUAGUGUUGGACACCUUUUUUUCUUAUGGGGAAGGCACUGACACCAUUGCCCCAUGUUCUCUGCCACAUACACUUUGUCAAGAAACAGAGAAGUGACAAACCUCCCUAAAUCUCCAUAUGGAGCCUCUCACAAAAGUUUGUCCCACAGAACUACAAGAGCUCUGUAAAUUAUAUUACUCGUUUAUGAAACACUUAGUGCCUGCCCCUGUGACUUCAUGCUCCAAAAUCCAGCUUUCCCACUGCGUCCCUGUGGUGUCUGUUGCUCUUCUGGCCAAAAGAGGAACUGGAAGAGGACAACUGCAUGUAAAGUUAAUGAAUGUUCCUGGUAACUCUGGAAAACCAUAAUGGAAGUAUCUGCAUACCACUGAGAUGAAGCAACUCCAAACCAUCCCCUGUGAAGAGAAUCUCAAUCCUUUGCUGCUGUCUGGUAGAAAUGAAUGGACAAAAAGAACUUGAACUAUGGGUUUUGAUAAUGAUAGAGGAGGAGCUUUCACCACUAUUCCAGUGUUGGACUGCAUCUGAUGCAGGCUCAUAGAGGCAGGGGAUUGUUAUUAAAGCUGUCUGAAUAAUCUGCAACAAGUAAUUGAAUGGAAGAGCUUAGUCUUUUUUUCUGUUUCUAAAUUAUUUAUGAGCCAGCCCGGAUAUUCUUGAAUGUACUUGUCUGAAGUAAUCCUGCCCAUAAUUUCUGUGAAUGGUCAUUUAUUUUUAGUUUGCCUAUGAGCAUUUAGAUAGUCAAAAUGUUAGUUGUUUGAACUGGACAAACAAUGACAGAUUUCUGUUCCAUGGCUACAUGAGUGUAACUGAGAUUUCCACUGAGAAUAUUCACAGUUACCAGUGAAUAUUCUGUAUUUCUAUGUUUUCUUUCUGUAAACACUUUUAGAAAUUAAUGUGAAUCUUUUUGGCAA